This 161-nucleotide non-coding RNA is filed under the name uncultured Duodenibacillus sp. Lineage: Bacteria; Pseudomonadati; Pseudomonadota; Betaproteobacteria; Burkholderiales; Sutterellaceae. The record is from RNAcentral.
UUGGUAACAAGGGGUUUGGAGGAAGCCGAUAGCAAAAUGCAUGUUCGACGAACAGGAAGCGGAUAUGAGGCAUGGCUGUAGGGCAUGAAGGCAUAAGGAUUCAACGCCCGAUACUCAUACGGAUACAGCAACGUAGAUCCGACGGACAGGCAGGAAAGGUA